CUGGCGCGUGCUAACACUGCAGUCGAACGAGAACGGAACUAGCUCGCUAGUUGUCAGCCAAGNGGCGCACGGGUGAGUAAUAUAUAGNNAAUCUGCCCCAAAGAAGAGAAUAAUNGUUGGAAACGACUNGUAAUGCUCUAUAUGCCUNUAUCACAUAAGNGAGCAAGGGAAACAUUUAUGGCUUUGGGAUGAGACUGUACGGUAUCAGCUAGUUGGUGAGGUAAUGGCUCACCAAGGCUAUGACAUCUAACUGGUUUGAGAGGAUGAUCAGUCACACUGGAACUGAGACACGGUCCAGACUCCUACGGGAGGCAGCAGUGGGGAAUAUUGCACAAUGGAGGAAACUCUGAUGCAGCAACGCCGCGUGGAGGAUGACACAUUUCGGUGCGUAAACUCCUUUUAUAUGAGAAGAUAAUGACGGUAUCAUAUGAAUAAGCACCGGCUAACUCCGUGCCAGCAGCCGCGGUAAUACGGAGGGUGCAAGCGUUACUCGGAAUCACUGGGCGUAAAGCGCAUGCAGGCGGUUAAAUAAGUUGGAAGUGAAAUCCUAUGGCUCAACCAUAGAACUGCUUCCAAAACUGUUUAACUAGAGUCUGGGAGGGGAAGAUGGA
RNAcentral lists this ribosomal RNA (611 nucleotides) under uncultured bacterium. Its description in RNAcentral is "bacterial SSU rRNA". It matches the Rfam family "Bacterial small subunit ribosomal RNA", at positions 36 to 665 of the family's 1533-position model. The record is from RNAcentral.